Molecule: ribosomal RNA, 780 nt
Filed under: uncultured bacterium
Lineage: Bacteria
Description: bacterial SSU rRNA
Rfam family: Bacterial small subunit ribosomal RNA
Source: RNAcentral
GUCGAACGGCGAGGAGGGCUUGCUUUCUCGAGCGAGUGGCGAACGGGUGAGUAACGCGUGAGGACCUGCCUCAAAGAGGGGGACAACAGUUGGAAACGACUGCUAAUACCGCAUAAGUCGGCAUCGAAAAAAGAGCAAUCCGCUUUGAGAUGGCCUCGCGUCCGAUUAGCUAGUUGGUGAGGUAAUGGCCCACCAAGGCAACGAUCGGUAGCCGGACUGGGAGGUUGAACGGCCACAUUGGGACUGAGACACGGCCCAGACUCCUACGGGAGGCAGCAGUGGGGAAUAUUGCGCAAUGGGGGAAACCCUGAUGCAGCGACGCCGCGUGGAGGAAGAAGGUCUUCGGAUUGUAAACUCCUGUUGUUGAGGAAGAUAAUGACGGUACUCAACAAGGAAGUGACGGCUAACUACGUGCCAGCAGCCGCGGUAAAACGUAGGUCACAAGCGUUGUCCGGAAUUACUGGGUGUAAAGGGAGCGCAGGCGGGAAGACAAGUUGGAAGUGAAAUCUAUGGGCUCAACCCAUAAACUGCUUUCAAAACUGUUUUUCUUGAGUAGUGCAGAGGUAGGCGGAAUUCCCGGUGUAGCGGUGGAAUGCGUAGAUAUCGGGAGGAACACCAGUGGCGAAGGCGGCCUACUGGGCACCAACUGACGCUGAGGCUCGAAAGUGUGGGUAGCAAACAGGAUUAGAUACCCUGGUAGUCCACACCGUAAACGAUGAUUACUAGGUGUUGGAGGAUUGACCUUCAGUGCCGCAGUUAACACAAUAAGUAAUCCACCUG